RNAcentral lists this ribosomal RNA (260 nucleotides) under uncultured bacterium. Its description in RNAcentral is "partial 16S ribosomal RNA". It matches the Rfam family "Bacterial small subunit ribosomal RNA", at positions 524 to 784 of the family's 1533-position model. The record is from RNAcentral.
UACGAAGGGCGUAGCGUUGUUCGGAAUUACUGGGCGUAAGCGCACGUAGGCGGGUGGUUAAGUUAGGGUGAAUACCCGGACGCUCAACUCCGGAACUGCCUUUGUAUACUGGCCAUCUAGAGAUCGGAAGAGGUGAGUGGAAUUCCCAGUGUAGAGGUGAAAUUCGUAGAUAUUGGGAAGAACACCGGUGGCGAAGGCGGCUCACUGGUCCGAUACUGACGCUGAGGUGCGAAAGCGUGGGGAGCAAACAGGAUUAGAAA